Long non-coding RNA from Lathyrus oleraceus (garden pea), 2276 nucleotides. RefSeq lists it as uncharacterized. The transcript has 2 exons. Lineage: Eukaryota; Viridiplantae; Streptophyta; Magnoliopsida; Fabales; Fabaceae. The record is from RefSeq and is a predicted model, not a curated record.
AAGGAUAAAUGUAGGGGCAUAAGUUAAAAUUCCCGGUUGGGAGAAUGGGUCCAUACUGAUGGCGGCCCAAACGCGGUCCAAACAUGAUCCCACGCAUACGAUUCUUUCCUCUUCACGUUGAGCUGCAACAUAGGAAAAGAAGAAAAGCCUACAACGCUCCGCUCUGUUCUUUACACCGUUACGCUGUCACCAUGAUCGCCGUAUUAGCUUCGUUCGUGUACUCUUGUUUGCGUUUGGACGUGUAGCGAUUUGUAGGCUCCUAGCUUCAAAGUUCCCAUGGAAUGGCUCGUAUCGCCCACAUAUAAACAUGAGGAAAUGAUGUUGAAGAUAGAUCGGAAGACUUACCAGGUCGAGUUUCCGAUGGCGGUUGGGCAUGAAUUGUCUUCCUUGCUUCGCGUUUAUGUCGAUGUUCUUCUUCUCAACACGAAUUCGAUACCGGCGAUCUUCGGUUUCUCCUCAGAAGUUGCAUAUGAACUCAAAGUAACGUUGGGGUUCAGAUAAGGAACGCUGCGAUCUCCUUUCUCCUUCUUCGAUUUACUCUUGAUUUACUUCCUUCUGUUUUCAAUUUGAUAUGCGUAUGGUCGUUGCGUGAAGGAGCUUUGGCUGCAAAAUGGAAAAAACCAAUUGCAGUGUUCAGUUCUUGUUGCAGAAUCCAGUGGAAUUCGUUUGCAGGAUCGAAUUACAGAAUUGAGAUGUAAGGUCCAGUUGCAGGAUCGAGUUGCAUCAUUUGAAGCUUGAUGUAUGAAUCUGAAUUCGGUGAAGAAUUAUGAGUUUUUAUUUGGUGAAGGGUGUAGAGGUUGAAGAAGAAGAUUGGUGAAUGGUGAAGUGAAGUUGAAGGAGAUUGGAAAAUAAAGGUUGAAGAAUCCCCCUUAAUUUCUAACAGAAGGAACAGCCCCGAGUUUAAAAGGGAAUGAAGAUAUUCAAGCCGUCUAUGGUGAGAAGCAAGAUGCAGUGGCGUAGCACCAUUUCCAUCUCUUAUGUUCACAAAUCUGGUAAAUCCCCAAGAAUCUGCAACAGGCCUGGAAUGAGCAGCUGAAAGAAUAGCCUUUAGGCAAUCCACAUGGCCAUAAUACGCAGCAUAGUGCAAGCAAGUUCUUUGACGAAUAGAAUCAAACAUCAAUAUAUUAGCUCCAUCUUGAAUAAGCUUUUCCAUGCGACCGGUCUUUCCAUGCAUCACAGCCAGCAUUAAUGGCGUCUGUUUAUGAUGAUUCAAGACAUCAACUUUAACUAUCUGCUCCAACAGCAUGGAAAACACCUCGAUCCGACCAUUGGCAACGGCUAAAUGAAGAGGAGACAACUUAGCUCAACCAAUAGUUCACAUCAACCAUAGCUUCAACAACAUCCAACUCACCAUUGGCAAAUGAAAGUGAUACGAAUUUAUUGUUCGUGGUGAAUUGUGUCGUAAAUUGCCGUGGAUUUAUUAUGCUGUUAAGUUGAAAUCUAAUAUGGUUUUCUGGCAGGCCUUAAAUGGUGAAGCAUUGGUCAGGUAGUGCUUAGAGCCAAAACUCGUCCACGGUUGGAAAAUGGCUGGUCACGUAGCUUCUAGUUCAGUUUGGAAUUGUGAUUCAGAACGUGUCUCAAUCAAGAAUUGGUUGUUCUCCUUUCUUUUUGAAGUUAUGAAGGCAUAUUUCCUAUUAGGGGAACAACGGCUGCAUUACAGUCCAAAUUAACGACGUCAACAGAGCAUAAGUAUCUCUCGAUACGGCGACUUGAGAAGUUAGUGAAACUGUAAAUCAUUUUGGAGUCAAUUGUAUAUUUUGAAAUGAUGUUGAUUCUCUUUUUGUCAAAUGUUGCUUCAAUUAUUCGGUGUAGCUGCGAUACCGAUUGUCAUACUGACCUGUUCUUCUUUCAACAUUGCAAGUGUCCUCAUGGAUUUGAUGCAGAAUAUCACCUGUCCUAUACCGGUAUUCAAUCCAAAUGGCGGAUUACUGUUGGUUUUGCUGAAGGAUCUUGGCGUUGUAAGUCAACGAUAUGCCGCUUUCACUUUACUUCACCAGGAUGUGUAGUAACUCCAUGGCUUAUGUAAUCCAUUACUAGUUUACUGUUUGUAUCAUUCAUGUGAUGGUUGGGUGAAUGGUAGUAACAUAAUUUAUAUAGAAAAUUAGGAUGUAAUUAUUUUGGUAAGGUGUUUAUAACAAAUACUAGCACGGACGAGCAUGGUAUUUUGGACUAGGUAUGUAGGAUUUUGCCAGUGGUUUCAAACAUGCUGCAAGCGGAUUAUGUAAUAUGGACAUGAAAUUGUUUUAAUAGUGGUAUAGCCAAUUGGGUUUGGAUAA